RNAcentral lists this transfer RNA (62 nucleotides) under Bragasellus molinai. RNAcentral's name for it is "transfert RNA-Y(TAC)". The record is from RNAcentral. Lineage: Eukaryota; Metazoa; Arthropoda; Malacostraca; Isopoda; Asellidae.
AGUCGGGUGGCCGAAUUUAGGCAUUAAAUUGUAAAUUUAAUUAUAGAGAUAUCUCCUUACUA